Molecule: transfer RNA, 74 nt
Filed under: Camelus bactrianus (Bactrian camel)
Lineage: Eukaryota; Metazoa; Chordata; Mammalia; Artiodactyla; Camelidae
Also listed under: 2 other names
Rfam family: tRNA
About the family: Transfer RNA (tRNA) molecules are approximately 80 nucleotides in length. Their secondary structure includes four short double-helical elements and three loops (D, anti-codon, and T loops).
Source: Rfam by way of RNAcentral
GAGAGUGUAGCUCAAAGUGGUAGAGCGCAUGCCUAGCAUGCCUGAGAUCCUGGGUUCAAUCCCCAGGACCUCCU